Hipposideros armiger (great roundleaf bat) is the source of this 664-nucleotide long non-coding RNA. RefSeq lists it as uncharacterized. Lineage: Eukaryota; Metazoa; Chordata; Mammalia; Chiroptera; Hipposideridae. The transcript has 3 exons. The record is from RefSeq and is a predicted model, not a curated record.
GACCCCAUAACCUGCCACGUGGGGACCAGUAGCAGCAGGGAGCCUUGCUCUGGGGCCUGGGGGCCAGCCCAGCGAGGUGGCUCUGGCAGAUGGACCGGGGCUCCUGCUCACCACGGGGAUGGCAGGCUGUUGGGCCAGAGGGGGGCUGAGGUCCGCCCACUGGAAAGUGUGGCCCCAGCCAGGGGCGGAUGUGUCCUGAGAGGCCCAGGCAGCCAGGAGGGACCAGGAGGAGAGGACAGAUCCAGGAGGGCUGCAGUCAGAGCUGCGCUGACACCCGAGGAGAAAACCUCUCUUUAAUCCCUCUUUACUAAGUGGGUCGCAGCCUCCCACCAUGGACGCCAGGGCAGAAGAGGGGACAGAGAAGUGAGAAGAGGUGGUGGGUACAGCCCUCGCCCACGGUCCACCCAGCCCAUUUGGGCAGCAGGUCCCCACCAGCACCGGGAUGGCCUAAAGCCACAUUCUGAACCUGGGCCCCUGCAUGUGGACGGAGCGAACACGGAAAAUCAGGGGCCGCUCAGCCAAGCGCGAGCUUCGCCGACGGGAGCCUUCCCCGGGGACACAGGGGCUGUGGGGCCUCCCCACCGGUGCCCUGGCCGCCGUGUCAGCGCAGCGACUCCGCACUAUGGGCACUGCAGUGAUGGGGAGCGCCCGGGGCCCCCAGGAG